GUGAGGAAUAUUGCGCAAUGGAGGCAACUCUGACGCAGCCAUGCCGCGUGCAGGAAGAAGGCGCUACGCGUUGUAAACUGCUUUUAACCGGGAAGAAACCCCAGGACGUGUCCUGGGUUGACGGUACCGGAGGAAUAAGCACCGGCUAACUUCGUGCCAGCAGCCGCGGUAAUACGAAGGCUGCAAGCGUUAUCCGGAUUCAUUGGGUUUCAAGGGUGCGUAGGAGGAGCGUUAAGUCAGUGGUGAAAUCCUGCAGCUUAACUGUAGCUGUGCCAUUGAUACUGGCGCUAGUGAGUGCGCUUGAAGUGGGCGGAAUGUGCCGUGUAGCGGUGAAAUGCUUAGAUAUGGCAGAUAACACCAAUGGCGAAGGCAGCUCACUAGGGCGAUACGGACGCUGAGGCACGAAAGCGUGGGGAUCGAACAGGAUUAGAAACCCUUGUAGUCC
RNAcentral lists this ribosomal RNA (445 nucleotides) under uncultured bacterium. RNAcentral's name for it is "partial 16S ribosomal RNA". It matches the Rfam family "Bacterial small subunit ribosomal RNA", at positions 354 to 796 of the family's 1533-position model. The record is from RNAcentral.